Small nuclear RNA from Prosopis cineraria, 101 nucleotides. NCBI's taxonomy places the organism in Eukaryota, Viridiplantae, Streptophyta, Magnoliopsida, Fabales, Fabaceae. The record is from RefSeq and is a predicted model, not a curated record.
GUCCCUCGAGGACACUUGAUAAAAGUGGAAUGAUGCAGAGAAGAUUACAUGGCCCCUGUGUAAGGAUGACACGCACAAAUUGAGAAAACUUAUAUCAUUAG